Molecule: long non-coding RNA, 1277 nt
Filed under: Androctonus crassicauda
Lineage: Eukaryota; Metazoa; Arthropoda; Arachnida; Scorpiones; Buthidae
Source: RNAcentral
AUGAUCACAAGAUAGCCAUAUAAUUUAAAAAUAUAUUAGUUUUUUCAAAAAAAGAAUUACAAAAUGAAUUGAGUUAUAAUCACUCAAAUACAACUCUUAAAAGUCUCAGACAUGGUCAGAAUCUUAAAAAAGACUUAAAUAACAAUAGUUAAUAUCACUGCUUUAUUUUUCAUAAACAAUAUGUUGUAAAUAAUAGUAUCAUAGUUAUAUAUUUGGUAGUAUUUUAAUGUAGUUUUCCCCUCUUCUUUAAUUCUUUAUCUUGCUGUUUAGUAGUAGCACUAUCGUAUUUUAGUGUGAGAUCACCAAUUGUAACUAGAAAAAAAUACUUCUUUGGGAUAAACUGAAAGAAACUCUAUGGAGUAUAACUUACGAGUGCUUUGGCUAAAAGGAUAUGAUCUCAAGUGGGACAGAUAAGAGUUAUUUAAUGAAAUAUGGGAAUUUUCUGGAAGCUCUCCAUUAAAAUAUAUACUAAAAAUGUUCUCAUUUUGCAUAUUUUCAGUUUAAGUGAUUGUUUCCAGGAAUCACAUAUCAAAUCCACUUGCCUGGUCUCCAAUAUAGCAGAUGGAUAUUCUAAAGUAACUCUCCAAAUAAAAGUCAUCUGGAUUGUGAAACAUAACUGUGAUAGCAUAAAAAGCAUAGACCAAGAAUCAGGAGAAAAAUUAACAACAGUAUUUAUUAACUGAUGAUUAUUAGCAAUAUUGAAUUCAAACUGUAACAAAAUACUUAAUGUUAAAAAAUCUUUCUGUCAGCAGAGACAAACUUAUAAACAACAGUUCCAUAGUCCACAUCCACAUAAACAAAGAUAAUGAUGAUAAAGACAACAAAGUUAACCAAAAUACUCAACAGCUGUCAAAUUGUGGAGAUUUCCUUCUCCUAGUAGAUUUAUAAAGAUCAACAAAUUUACAUAAGUCACAACUUUUUAUCACAAUGUAAAUAAUUUUUUCCCAUAAAUAUAUUACAAUAAAUUACCUUCUUUUGAUUAUACAUUGUCAUUCAAAUAUUUUCUUUUUCUUUAUUAAUUUGAUGAAAUAAUAAAUGAUAUCUUAAUAAUGUCUUCCCAUUGACAUAUAUCAUCCAAUAUAGGAACAACAAGGUAAGAAACAUCUAGUUCCUUGCAUACCUACCACAUAACUAUGAGAAGUGUGUGUGUAUUAAAAAGUUUGCAUAUAUACAUAGGUUUAUUGUAUAUAGAUAGUCCUUGACUUAUGACCACUCAUACUUACAAUGGUGAUGUAAUCAGUAAAUUCUGUGAUUAAUCAAUCCAAUUGAUAUGAGUU